RNAcentral lists this microRNA precursor (93 nucleotides) under Myotis lucifugus (little brown bat). RNAcentral's name for it is "miRNA (ENSMLUG00000022262.1)". The record is from RNAcentral. Lineage: Eukaryota; Metazoa; Chordata; Mammalia; Chiroptera; Vespertilionidae.
AUGUGUAUAUAUAUAUAUAUGUGUGUGUGUGUGUGUGUGUGUGUGUAUAUAUAUAUAUACAUAUAUAUGUAUAUAUGUAUAUAUAUAUAUAUA